CACACCCCAAGCUCUGCUUGAUGUUGGACGAUGCCUUGGCCCUUCUGGGCCGGGGCACGUCUGGAACCCGUGGGCGCCCCCGCCGAACCACGAGCGUAGCAAGACGCAAGUCACUCGCUUCUGUCGGUCCCGGUGGAGGUCUGCCUUAAUCCAUUUCUGAA
Molecule: unclassified non-coding RNA, 161 nt
Filed under: uncultured fungus
Lineage: Eukaryota; Fungi
Description: sequence contains ITS2
Source: RNAcentral